ACUGCGUCAAGAACAGAAGGAGAACCUCGUCCCGACGAUGAUAAAAACUCGGUCGCCCAAUAAAAUUAGAUAAAGGGAAAAGUCCCCUCAAUGGCAUCUCUACACUUCUACGCGACCCCACAAAAAGCAAGGGGAGGACCCUCGAUCAGAAAAGAGGAGGAAAGUUAAAAAGGAAAGCGACGAAUUACAUCGGCUACAGAUGAAAAAUAAAUCACACCAAAGACCUAGG
RNAcentral lists this long non-coding RNA (229 nucleotides) under Elaeis guineensis (African oil palm). RNAcentral describes it as "long non-coding RNA (EGUI_LNC046837)". Lineage: Eukaryota; Viridiplantae; Streptophyta; Magnoliopsida; Arecales; Arecaceae. The record is from RNAcentral.